RNAcentral lists this ribosomal RNA (662 nucleotides) under Salmonella enterica subsp. enterica serovar Enteritidis. RNAcentral describes it as "partial 23S ribosomal RNA". It matches the Rfam family "Bacterial large subunit ribosomal RNA", at positions 711 to 1370 of the family's 2925-position model. The record is from RNAcentral. Lineage: Bacteria; Pseudomonadati; Pseudomonadota; Gammaproteobacteria; Enterobacterales; Enterobacteriaceae.
AGACCCGAAACCCGGUGAUCUAGCCAUGGGCAGGUUGAAGGUUGGGUAACACUAACUGGAGGACCGAACCGACUAAUGUUGAAAAAUUAGCGGAUGACCUGUGGCUGGGGGUGAAAGGCCAAUCAAACCGGGAGAUAGCUGGUUCUCCCCGAAAGCUAUUUAGGUAGCGCCUCGUGAAUUCAUCUCCGGGGGUAGAGCACUGUUUCGGCUAGGGGGCCAUCCCGGCUUACCAACCCGAUGCAAACUGCGAAUACCGGAGAAUGUUAUCACGGGAGACACACGGCGGGUGCUAACGUCCGUCGUGAAGAGGGAAACAACCCAGACCGCCAGCUAAGGUCCCAAAGUCAUGGUUAAGUGGGAAACGAUGUGGGAAGGCCCAGACAGCCAGGAUGUUGGCUUAGAAGCAGCCAUCAUUUAAAGAAAGCGUAAUAGCUCACUGGUCGAGUCGGCCUGCGCGGAAGAUGUAACGGGGCUAAACCAUGCACCGAAGCUGCGGCAGCGACACUGUGUGUUGUUGGGUAGGGGAGCGUUCUGUAAGCCUGUGAAGGUGUGUCGUGAGGCAUGCUGGAGGUAUCAGAAGUGCGAAUGCUGACAUAAGUAACGAUAAAGCGGGUGAAAAGCCCGCUCGCCGGAAGACCAAGGGUUCCUGUCCAACGUUAAUC